This 100-nucleotide transfer RNA is filed under the name Fusarium fujikuroi. Its description in RNAcentral is "transfer RNA-Leu(AAG)". It matches the Rfam family "tRNA". Rfam says of the family: Transfer RNA (tRNA) molecules are approximately 80 nucleotides in length. Lineage: Eukaryota; Fungi; Ascomycota; Sordariomycetes; Hypocreales; Nectriaceae. The record is from RNAcentral. RNAcentral also lists the same sequence under 2 other names.
GGUGAGAUGGCCGAGUUGGUUAUGGCGCCAGGUUAAGGUAAACCUUAACACCAAUUUCCUGGUGGAGCAAUCCUCCUGGGUUCGAGUCCCAGUCUCAUCA